This 755-nucleotide ribosomal RNA is filed under the name uncultured Fusobacteriota bacterium. Its description in RNAcentral is "bacterial SSU rRNA". It matches the Rfam family "Bacterial small subunit ribosomal RNA", at positions 58 to 827 of the family's 1533-position model. The record is from RNAcentral. Lineage: Bacteria; Fusobacteriati; Fusobacteriota.
CAAGUCAACUUGAAUUUGGGUUUUAACUUAGAUUUGGGUGGCGGACGGGUGAGUAACGCGUAAAGAACUUGCCUCACAGCUAGGGACAACAUUUAGAAAUGAAUGCUAAUACCUAAUAUUAUGAUAAUAGGGCAUCCUAUAAUUAUGAAAGCUAUAUGCGCUGUGAGAGAGCUUUGCGUCCCAUUAGCUAGUUGGAGAGGUAACGGCUCACCAAGGCGAUGAUGGGUAGCCGGCCUGAGAGGGUGAUCGGCCACAAGGGGACUGAGACACGGCCCUUACUCCUACGGGAGGCAGCAGUGGGGAAUAUUGGACAAUGGACCGAGAGUCUGAUCCAGCAAUUCUGUGUGCACGAUGAAGUUUUUCGGAAUGUAAAGUGCUUUCAGUUGGGAAGAAAAAAAUGACGGUACCAACAGAAGAAGUGACGGCUAAAUACGUGCCAGCAGCCGCGGUAAUACGUAUGUCACGAGCGUUAUCCGGAUUUAUUGGGCGUAAAGCGCGUCUAGGUGGUUAUGUAAGUCUGAUGUGAAAAUGCAGGGCUCAACUCUGUAUUGCGUUGGAAACUGUGUAACUAGAGUACUGGAGAGGUAAGCGGAACUACAAGUGUAGAGGUGAAAUUCGUAGAUAUUUGUAGGAAUGCCGAUGGGGAAGCCAGCUUACUGGACAGAUACUGACGCUGAAGCGCGAAAGCGUGGGUAGCAAACAGGAUUAGAUACCCUGGUAGUCCACGCCGUAAACGAUGAGUGCUAGGUGUUAGG